GUCCACGCCGUAAACGAUGAGUGCUAGGUGUUGUGGGUAUUGACCCCUGCAGUGCCAAAGCUAACGCGUUAAGCACUCCGCCUGGGGAGUACGGUCGCAAGAUUAAAACUCAAACGGAAUUGACGGGGGCACGCACAAGCGGUGGAGCAUGUGGUUUAAUUCGACGCAACGCGCAGAACCUUACCUGGGUUUGAACUGCAGCGGACAGAUACAGAAAUGUAUUCUCCCUUCGGGGUCGCUGUGGAGGUGCUGCAUGGCUGUCGU
This 264-nucleotide ribosomal RNA is filed under the name uncultured bacterium. Its description in RNAcentral is "partial 16S ribosomal RNA". It matches the Rfam family "Bacterial small subunit ribosomal RNA", at positions 793 to 1055 of the family's 1533-position model. The record is from RNAcentral.